GAUGAACGCUGGCGGCGUGCCUAAUACAUGCAAGUCGAGCGAACAGACGAGGAGCUUGCUCCUCUGACGUUAGCGGCGGACGGGUGAGUAACACGUGGCUAACCUACCUAUAAAACUGGGAUAACUUCGGGAAACCGGAGCUAAUACCGGAUAAUAUAUUGAACCGCAUGGUUCAAUAGUGAAAGACGGUUUUCCUGUCCCUUAUAGAUGGAUCCGCGCCGCAUUAGCUAGUUGGUAAGGUAACGGCUUACCAAGGCGACGAUGCCUAGCCGACCUGAGAGGGUGCUCGGCCCCCCGGGAACGGGCCCACGGUCCAGACUCCUACGGGAGGCAGCAGUAGGGAACCUGCCGCAAUGGGCGAAGGCCUGACGCAGCAACGCCGCGUGCGUCAGGAAGUUCUCCGGAUCGUAACACUCUCUUAUUAGGGAAGACCAAAUGUGUCCGUAACUAUGCACGUCUUGACGGUACCUAAGCAGAAAGCUACGGCUAACUUCUUG
This 497-nucleotide ribosomal RNA is filed under the name uncultured bacterium. Its description in RNAcentral is "partial 16S ribosomal RNA". It matches the Rfam family "Bacterial small subunit ribosomal RNA", at positions 28 to 507 of the family's 1533-position model. The record is from RNAcentral.